GUGUCAGCCGCCGCGGUAAUACAGAGGUCCCGAGCGUUGUUCGGAUUCAUUGGGCGUAAAGGGUGCGUAGGUGGCGCUGUAAGUGGGGUGUGAAAUCCCGGGGCUUAACUCCGGAACUGCAUUCCAUACUGCGGUGCUUGAGGACUGGAGAGGAGACUGGAAUUUACGGUGUAGCAGUGAAAUGCGUAGAGAUCGUAAGGAAGACCAGUGGCGAAGGCGGGUCUCUGGACAGUUCCUGACACUGAGGCACGAAGGCCAGGGGAGCAAACGGGAUUAGAAACCCCCGUAGUCC
Molecule: ribosomal RNA, 292 nt
Filed under: uncultured bacterium
Lineage: Bacteria
Description: partial 16S ribosomal RNA
Rfam family: Bacterial small subunit ribosomal RNA
Source: RNAcentral